Molecule: long non-coding RNA, 367 nt
Filed under: Mus musculus (house mouse)
Lineage: Eukaryota; Metazoa; Chordata; Mammalia; Rodentia; Muridae
Description: long non-coding RNA chr7:15719765-15720132
Source: RNAcentral
AAAUCAAACUUCACCCGAUUGUUCAAAUCUUGAAAAAGAACUGCUUCAGGAAGAGCCAUAUUAGGCAGCAGCCACACAGGCAGAAGGGUAGUUAACUGUCUGCAAAGCAAGACCAACUAUCUAGUGGCAGUUCUGGAUUUCCCAAAUUUUGUACCACCCUUACUGUGUCAGCCAGUUCAGUUUCUAUGUAUGAUAGGCCAUUGGGUAUCAGCACUCCUCCCCUGCUCAGUUUUUCAACUCUUGCUAAAAACUCAGAAUCCACCUUCUUCAUGUGUCAGAGACCAUCUGUUUUGAGCCUUCUUCCUGAAUACAGCACUUAGAUUAAUUUCUCAGACCAGCAAUGUAUCUUCUCCAGCAUUGGUCAAGU